CAGAAUGUAGCAUAAAAGGAAAUGUGCCUGCUUUGGGAGCAGGAGAUUACAGGUUCGAGUCCUGUCGUUCUGA
RNAcentral lists this transfer RNA (73 nucleotides) under Paulinella micropora. It matches the Rfam family "tRNA". Rfam says of the family: Transfer RNA (tRNA) molecules are approximately 80 nucleotides in length. Their secondary structure includes four short double-helical elements and three loops (D, anti-codon, and T loops). Lineage: Eukaryota; Cercozoa; Imbricatea; Euglyphida; Paulinellidae. The record is from Rfam by way of RNAcentral.